Molecule: ribosomal RNA, 119 nt
Filed under: Lepisosteus oculatus (spotted gar)
Lineage: Eukaryota; Metazoa; Chordata; Actinopteri; Semionotiformes; Lepisosteidae
Source: RNAcentral
GCCAGCAGCCAUAUCACCCUGCAACUCACAACUGGCAGCCCACUGAAGCUGAGCAGGUAUGAGCCUGGUCAGUACCUGGAUGGGAGACCUCCUAGGAAAAACUAAGGUUGGUGCUGGAA